UGGGGGAUAUUGCACAAUGGGCGAAAGCCUGAUGCAGCGACGCCGCGUGGGGGAUGAAGGCCUUCGGGUUGUAAACUUCUUUUGCUCUGAACAAGGCAUGCUAAUGGGUGUGUUGAGUGUAGGGGUUGAUUAGCGCCGGCUAACUACGUGCCAGCAGCCGCGGUAAUACGUAGGGCGCGAGCGUUGUCCGGAAUUAUUGGGCGUAAAGGGCUUGUAGGUGGCUGGUUGCGUCUGUCGUGAAAGCUCAUGGCUUAACUGUGGGUUUGCGGUGGGUACGGGCUGGCUUGAGUGCAGUAGGGGAGGCUGGAAUUCCUGGUGUAGCGGUGGAAUGCGCAGAUAUCAGGAAGAAUACCGGUGGCGAAGGCGGGUCUCUGGGCUGUUACUGACACUGAGGAGCGAAAGCAUGGGGAGCGAACAGG
RNAcentral lists this ribosomal RNA (419 nucleotides) under bacterium. RNAcentral's name for it is "partial 16S ribosomal RNA". It matches the Rfam family "Bacterial small subunit ribosomal RNA", at positions 355 to 776 of the family's 1533-position model. The record is from RNAcentral.